RNAcentral lists this ribosomal RNA (423 nucleotides) under Heterosigma akashiwo. RNAcentral describes it as "partial Bacterial large subunit ribosomal RNA". It matches the Rfam family "Bacterial large subunit ribosomal RNA", at positions 1281 to 1704 of the family's 2925-position model. The record is from RNAcentral. Lineage: Eukaryota; Raphidophyceae; Chattonellales; Chattonellaceae.
AUCAGAAGUGCGAAUGCUGACAUGAGUAACGACAAUGGGUGUGAAAAACACCCACGCCGAAAGACCAAGGUUUCCUGCGCAACGUUAAUCGACGCAGGGUUAGUCGGUCCCUAAGGCGAGGCUGAAAAGCGUAGUCGAUGGAAAACAGGUUAAUAUUCCUGUACUUCUGGUUAUUGCGAUGGAGGGACGGAGAAGGCUAGGCCAGCCUGGCGUUGGUUGUCCAGGUUUAAGGUGGUAGGCUGAAAUCUUAGGUAAAUCCGGGGUUUCAAGGCCGAGAGCUGAUGACGAGUGUUCUUUUGAACACGAAGUGGUUGAUGCCAUGCUUCCAAGAAAAGCUUCUAAGCUUCAGGUAACCAGGAACCGUACCCCAAACCGACACAGGUGGUUGGGUAGAGAAUACCAAGGCGCUUGAGAGAACUCGGG